This 491-nucleotide ribosomal RNA is filed under the name uncultured bacterium. RNAcentral's name for it is "partial 16S ribosomal RNA". It matches the Rfam family "Bacterial small subunit ribosomal RNA", at positions 29 to 507 of the family's 1533-position model. The record is from RNAcentral.
AGUGAACGCUGGCGGUAGGCCUAACACAUGCAAGUCGAACGGCAGCACAGUAAGAGCUUGCUCUUCGGGUGGCGAGUGGCGGACGGGUGAGGAAUACAUCGGAAUCUACUUUUUCGUGGGGGAUAACGUAGGGAAACUUACGCUAAUACCGCAUACGACCUACGGGUGAAAGCAGGGGAUCUUCGGACCUUGCGCGAUUGAAUGAGCCGAUGUCGGAUUAGCUAGUUGGCGGGGUAAAGGCCCACCAAGGCGACGAUCCGUAGCUGGUCUGAGAGGAUGAUCAGCCACACUGGAACUGAGACACGGUCCAGACUCCUACGGGAGGCAGCAGUGGGGAAUAUUGGACAAUGGGCGCAAGCCUGAUCCAGCCAUACCGCGUGGGUGAAGAAGGCCUUCGGGUUGUAAAGCCCUUUUGUUGGGAAAGAAAAGCAGCAGGUUAAUACCCCGCUGUUCUGACGGUACCCAAAGAAUAAGCACCGGCUAACUUCGUG